AGAGUUUGAUCAUGGCUCAGGAUGAACGUUGGCGGUGUGCCUAAUACAUGCAAGUCGAACGAAGUUGAUAGCAAUAUUAGCUUAGUGGCGAACGGGUGAGUAACGCGUUGGUGAUCUGCCUUGAAGUGUGGAAUAACGUUUCGAAAGGAACGCUAAUACCGCAUGUGCUCUCGAUUUUCAGAAAGUUGAGAGUAAAGGAUUUAUUCGCUUCAAGAGGAGCCUGCGUCCCAUCAGCUGGUUGGUAGGGUAACGGCCUACCAAGGCUAUGACGGGUAGGGGACCUGAGAGGUGGCCCCCACAAUGGAACUGAAACACGGUCCAUACACCUACGGGUGGCAGCAGUAGGGAAUAUUAGAAAUGGACGAAAGUCUGAUCUAGCAACACCGCGUGUGCGAAGAAGGCCUUCGGGUCGUAAAGCACUUUUUGGAAGGAAUAGGGAGGAAUGUACUUCCAGAAUAAGUCCCGGCUAACUACGUG
RNAcentral lists this ribosomal RNA (477 nucleotides) under uncultured bacterium. RNAcentral's name for it is "bacterial SSU rRNA". It matches the Rfam family "Bacterial small subunit ribosomal RNA", at positions 8 to 507 of the family's 1533-position model. The record is from RNAcentral.